GGGGUGGUAGCUUAAUGGUAAAGCAAUCUGAUUGUCACUCAGAAUGGACCUAGGAGGUGAAACUCUAGAGGUCCUCAUCCGGGUUCGAGUCCUGGUCAUCCCG
This is a non-coding RNA of Rhizophagus irregularis, 103 nucleotides long. The record is from Rfam. Lineage: Eukaryota; Fungi; Glomeromycota; Glomeromycetes; Glomerales; Glomeraceae.